Molecule: ribosomal RNA, 436 nt
Filed under: uncultured bacterium
Lineage: Bacteria
Description: partial 16S ribosomal RNA
Rfam family: Bacterial small subunit ribosomal RNA
Source: RNAcentral
AGCGAACGCUGGCGGCAGGCUUAACACAUGCAAGUCGAGCGGGCAUCCUCGUGGUGUCAGCGGCAGACGGGUGAGUAACGCGUGGGAACGUGCCCUUCGGCUCGGAAUAACCCAGGGAAACUUGAGCUAAUACCGGAUACGACCUUUUGGGGAAAGGUUUACUGCCGAAGGAUCGGUGCGCGUCUGCUUAGCGGGUUGGUGAGGUUAUGGCUCACCAAGGCGACGAUCAGUUGCUGGUCUGGGAGGCUGAUCAGCCAGACUGGGACUGAGACACAGCCCAGUCUCCUACGGAAGAGAGCGGUAGAGAAUAUUAUACAAUGGAGGCAACCCUGAUCCAGCCAUGCCGGGUGAGUGAUGACGGCCUUAGGGUUGUAAAGCUCUUUUCUCCGAGGCGAUAAUGACGGUACCGGAGAAAGAAGCCCCGGCUAACUACGUG